Molecule: ribosomal RNA, 500 nt
Filed under: uncultured eukaryote
Lineage: Eukaryota
Description: SSU rRNA
Rfam family: Eukaryotic small subunit ribosomal RNA
Source: RNAcentral
AGAUUGAUAGCUCUUUCUUGAUUCUAUGGGUGGUGGUGCAUGGCCGUUCUUAGUUGGUGGAGUGAUUUGUCUGGUUAAUUCCGAUAACGAACGAGACCUUAACCUGCUAACUAGAUAUGCUCAUUAUAUGGGUACAAUCUUCUUAGAGGGACUAUGUUUUGAUAAAUGCAUGGAAGUUUGAGGCAAUAACAGGUCUGUGAUGCCCUUAUAUGUCCUGGGCUGCACGCGUGCUACACUGAUGCAUACAACAAGUAUCCAAGCCCGUCAGGGUGAGGUAAUCUCGAAUAUGCAUCGUGAUGGGGAUAGAUCUUUGCAAUUAUAGAUCUUGAACGAGGAAUUCCUAGUAAAUGCAAGUCAUCAUCUUGCGUUGAUUAUGUCCCUGCCCUUUGUACACACCGCCCGUCGCUCCUACCGAUACCGGGUGAUCCGGUGAACCCUUUUGGACCGUUUUACGGAAAGAUAAGAAACCUAUCACCUAGAGGAAGGAGAAGUCAACCAGC